Molecule: long non-coding RNA, 1948 nt
Filed under: Brachypodium distachyon (stiff brome)
Lineage: Eukaryota; Viridiplantae; Streptophyta; Magnoliopsida; Poales; Poaceae
Description: long non-coding RNA (BDIS_LNC003430)
Source: RNAcentral
AUAGCUCAAAUGUGUUGUUUGGUGCCUAUUCAACAGAAUAAAUUUCACAGAACCACAGAUUUUGAGGCAGUCUUCUCACCGAGCCCCCACUUUUGCUAAUUUGUCCGCAUAACCACAGGUUUUGUAUCUAAUUGUCCCACAUCACCUAAAAUGAAGGCUUUCGCAAUUUUCAAAGCUUUUCUUACAAGUGGGUCUUGCUUGUCAGAUGCCACAUCUCUUUCAUUGAGCCCCUUGCUUUUUUUUGUUUUUGUUUUGCCUCAUCCUCUCUCUUCUUCUUCUUCUUCUUCUUCUUCUUCUACGAAUGGAGGCAGCUCCUUGACACGACCUUCUCUGUCCGGGACGACGAGCGGGCGGCUGGGACCACGCAACAUAUAUAAUGACAAGCAUAUAUACAUUACAAUGUCUUGAAACGAAACUAUAGCAGGAUACACAAACACAGAGACUAGUACUUAAGAUACACUUGAUUGAAAUUAUAGAGAGGCAUAAGCAUAACUAAUUGUUGAUCGCGUGAGCGUGAGCCUUCAUUUUGGGUGAUGUGAGACAAGUAGACACAAAACAUGUGGUUCUGCGGACAAAUUAGCAAAAGUGGGGGCUCGGUGAGAAGAUUACCUCAAAACCUGUGGUUCCGUGAAAUUUACUCUAUUCAACGAGAUAUCUGGCACAAAUUAUCACACUUCAUCAUCAAUGAGGUAAACAUUAAACAAAUUCACUUCUAAUAUAAUUUGCUAUGAAUAUCGAAUGACCCACUCUAUUUACACCCCCUAGUAACACAAGAUGACCCAACCCUCUAUAGUAAAUCCACACAUGGAAGACUCGUAUAUAUCUAAGUUUAUGAAGAUAUUAUAUCCACAAUGCGUACUUGUCUAUGUCAGUUUUUAUACAAGAUUGACACAAUAUUGGCAUAGAACAAUCGAACGAGUGCAUUGCAUUUUUCUUGGGCAUUUUGAUUUGAUUAAUCAUGGAAAACUAUUUCUCCUAAAAAUAUGAAUAAGAAUGUUUCAUGUCAUGUAACAUAUACAUGGCACAAUAAGAGACCAAAUUUGGUGGAAGGUUAGACAUCUCUAUAUAUAUUGUUGGACGAUGGAUUGGGAUGAACAAGGAUUAUUUCUCGUUGAUAAUUCCGGCACCAAGUACACCAUAACUAUUAGAGGAAUCUUUGACGCCCUAAAAUAGACAGAUAAAUUCUUAAAUAUUGGCAAAUACAAGUUAGAGGUAAACCCAUCCGAUUGCGGCAGGGAGGGCAUGCUCCCUAUUCCAAACAUGAAAACUUGUUUCCUUUUUGCAUUUUAUUUUUUUUAUUUUUUGUACCACGUGCGUAUAUUAUUUUUGCGCUAUAUUAUGUUUGCAGAACCAAUCGCCUUAGUUUUUACUUUCUAUUAACUAUAUGUAUCCUCUGUUUUCAACUAUAGUCGUCCUUGGAAUUGGAAUUACUUUUCAAUUAAUUGUCUACCGGAAGAACUAAGAGUCUCUAAAGUGCAGUAUAUAUGUUCACUCUCUAACCCUCAUGAAAUGCCAUGAAACGCCAUGAAACAGGAUAGGGGUUGCCACAUGUUAUUUAAUAAGAUUGUGUAGGUAAACAUUAUUGUGAAGUUCUCUAGAAUAACUGAUUUUUGUCUGUAUGAAUGAGCCACAAGUAUGUAUGAGAUGGAUGGACCAUUUUGAUAAUAACCAAAGGACACAACCACUAGAUAGAUCAUUCAAUGAAUGACUCCAAGUACUAGCAGUUGACCCACCUUAUCCUAAACUAAACAAUGGCAUGGUCAUGAGUCAUAGAGAAUUAUUAGCUCUAAGUGUUGGUUUAUUAGAAAAGUUGUAGACAUGUAAGAUGAGGUUGUCAGCUUUGGAUAAAAACUAUUUAGAUAGAAAGAGUUAUUCACAAUUAGCUCUGGAUGUAUUUAGUCUACCAGAGGUGCAGGGGGCACCGCACCCCCCCCCCCACCCCAACCAU